GGCCCCAGACCCCACCGGACAAACCCUAGCCUCACAUCUCGCACUCCUCCCUCCUCCUCCUUCCUCGUUAGACUCCACCGCCGCUGUCGUUCUGCCUCCAUCCUUUCUGUCCUACAACCAUGCCGUCGGGAGGAAGCCGCCGUCCGCGGCGCCAUACCGCUGCUGGGGUGUUGUGCACGCUUCGUUCCCCACAGCCCCUCCCUCAUCCUAGGUCGUCACCGCCGCUGCUUGCUACUCCCCUCCACCACCGUUGCUGCUUCUGGGUCGAAUCUGGCGUUGGUGGGUCGGAGCUCGAGCUAGAGGCCGAGAUGGGGAAGGUCAAAAAAGGAGACCGGAUGGAGGUGCUCGAGGCCGAGGAAGCUGGAGAUGGCGAGAUCCCUCUCCCCAUAUCUAUUCUCUUAGUUUUUCCUCUUCAAACUUUCAUUGAUGGUCUCUCUCCCUCACCACAACUAGCUUCACUGGCCAUCCAGUGGUUGGAGCAUGGGGCAACGCUCCACUUGCGAUGGGGUGGAGCUGCGCAGGAGGGGAAGGAGGCUCGCGACAAGGAGCCGGGCCAGGGAGGAGGCAAGGUUUUUCCAUGGUUGUAUUUGGCAUAUUGGCGUUAUCAGGAGUUGUGGUUCUGGAUUUUUUCGCUACUCUAUAGAUCUAUUAUUUGAAGAACUGAUGAUAUACAGUGCUUGUCAAGUAUGUGUGGAAAGCUUGACAAUUCGUUUUUAUCUCUAUGAUCUCCUCAUGACCACAACCAUAGUGCAGGAUGCUGCUGCCCAAGUUGUCAUUUAUCUUUGGGUAUUCCUUAAUGGUGGAGCUACUACAUAUCCAGAUCACUAGAUGAUACAAAGAACUAGGAGGGUGCAGAUAAGUAAGAGUUGUUGGCAGCAGCAACCUACACAUGUGGAAACAGUGGCUAUGGCGGUUCAAAGGGAAGUUGUGGCUGCUAGACAACAACUCACAACUUAGUGGCGGCUCAAAGGACAUAUGAUCUAUUUCUUCUUGGAGCUAUCUACUAUCAUAUUAUGACUCGGUGCUAGUUGAAGCUUCUAUUUUUCUCGCCUUUUGUGGUGGCGAUUAUUCCUUGGACUACAAUAAUUCCAUUUAUCAUUCGAUCUAUCUAUUUCUAUAGGCUAUUCCUCAUGUUGCAACCUUUUCCCGUAGAAUCAAAAGGAAUUAGAUGGAAGAAAUUGCAGGAGAGAAGGAAUGGUAUUCUCGGCUGACAUUCAAAAGCAGUCAAGAUGGUGAAGUUUAGAACGGAGGAGCUCCGCGGAAUUAUGGAUAAAAAAUAUCCAUAACAUGUCUGUCAUUGCUCAUGUCGACCAUGGUUGUACAAUCGGGAAAUGCUUUUAUCUUGCAGGCCGGUUUUACAUUUACUUCUUCGAUAAGGAGAUGACCAUGAAUAGAGUAUCAUGGUAUUUGCCUCGGCAUUACUGAUGUUGUGUUCAUAUUACUGAAAGAAGGAUUGGUAGCCGCAAAGGAUUGAAGGGUAGAAAAUAUGCCCAUUGUCAUUGAAUUGGUGGGAUUGUCCCCAAGUUAGUGUUGCAGAUGUUUCUAUUUUAGAGCAAGAAACCAAAUCAUGUUGUUCGUUGUAAAUCUUGAAAAACUUGUUUAUUGUCACUUCUAUAUCUAUUGUAAAUGUUUGUUCGUGAUAUGGUACUUGUCAAUCUUGGUUUUCCCUUC
Long non-coding RNA from Triticum dicoccoides, 1671 nucleotides. RefSeq lists it as uncharacterized. Lineage: Eukaryota; Viridiplantae; Streptophyta; Magnoliopsida; Poales; Poaceae. The record is from RefSeq and is a predicted model, not a curated record. The transcript is spliced from 7 exons.